UCAGGCUCAGGACGAACGCUGGCGGCGUGCCUAAUACAUGCAAGUCGAACGAACUCUGGUAUUGAUUGGUGCUUGCAUCAUGAUUUACAUUUGAGUGAGUGGCGAACUGGUGAGUAACACGUGGGAAACCUGCCCAGAAGCGGGGGAUAACACCUGGAAACAGAUGCUAAUACCGCAUAACAACUUGGACCGCAUGGUCCGAGUUUGAAAGAUGGCUUCGGCUAUCACUUUUGGAUGGUCCCGCGGCGUAUUAGCUAGAUGGUGAGGUAACGGCUCACCAUGGCAAUGAUACGUAGCCGACCUGAGAGGGUAAUCGGCCACAUUGGGACUGAGACACGGCCCAAACUCCUACGGGAGGCAGCAGUAGGGAAUCUUCCACAAUGGACGAAAGUCUGAUGGAGCAACGCCGCGUGAGUGAAGAAGGGUUUCGGCUCGUAAAACUCUGUUGUUAAAGAAGAACAUAUCUGAGAGUAACUGUUCAGGUAUUGACGGUAUUUA
Molecule: ribosomal RNA, 498 nt
Filed under: Lactiplantibacillus plantarum
Lineage: Bacteria; Bacillati; Bacillota; Bacilli; Lactobacillales; Lactobacillaceae
Description: bacterial SSU rRNA
Rfam family: Bacterial small subunit ribosomal RNA
Source: RNAcentral